GAUGAACGCUGGCGGCGUGCUUAACACAUGCAAGUCGAACGAAGCACUUUAUUUGAUUUCCUUCGGGACUGAUUAUUUUGUGACUGAGUGGCGGACGGGUGAGUAACGCGUGGGUAACCUGCCUUGUACAGGGGGAUAACAGUUGGAAACGGCUGCUAAUACCGCAUAAGCGCACAGCAUCGCAUGAUGCAGUGUGAAAAACUCCGGUGGUAUAAGAUGGACCCGCGUUGGAUUAGCUAGUUGGUGAGGUAACGGCCCACCAAGGCGACGAUCCAUAGCCGACCUGAGAGGGUGACCGGCCACAUUGGGACUGAGACACGGCCCAAACUCCUAGGGGAGGCAGCAGUGGGGAAUAUUGCACAAUGGGCGAAAGCCUGAUGCAGCGACGCCGCGUGAGCGAAGAAGUAUUUCGGUAAGUAAAGCUCUAUCAGCAGGGAAGAUAAUGACGGUACCUGACGAAGAAGCACCGGCUAAAUACGUG
RNAcentral lists this ribosomal RNA (481 nucleotides) under uncultured bacterium. RNAcentral's name for it is "partial 16S ribosomal RNA". It matches the Rfam family "Bacterial small subunit ribosomal RNA", at positions 28 to 507 of the family's 1533-position model. The record is from RNAcentral.